UGUUUUGGUUUAAUUUUUUUUAAUUUUUUGUUUUAUUUUUUGCUUCUUAAACGCGACAUUAGGUCUUUUGUAAACGCCGGCUGUUCGCGGCGGGGUCAGCCCACCUCCUUAGCGCUCUCUCUCCGUCGCCGGGAGGGCUGUGGUGACGCUGUUGUUGUUUCCCUGCGGAGGCUGUCGGCGUUCCUCCUGCCCGCGUCCAAGAUGGUGGCGGGCGGGCGCCGAGCCGUUGUCUCUGUGCGCGGCGGCCUCGCUGGGGGGCGGGGGUGUUUCUCUUCGGUGUUUCUGCCCAUUUCCCGUGUCCUGUCUUCCUUGCUGGAAGCCCAGGGUGUUGCGGAGCGGGGGUGUCGGCAGCCCUCCCCGUGAGGAAAUCCGCUCCCUUCCCCCGCUGCUGGGCCUGGCCUGUCGGUGCAGCACCCUCGGCAGCAAUAGAACUGGAGGAGAGGGAGGUUUUGCCCGCCUGAGGCGCGGUGUGAGGCCUGUGCUGGAGCCAGGGCGUGAUAGCGCGCGCCUGCCGUUGCUGAGGGAAGACGUGUACGCACUAUGCCUUUGAGGGACACGAGUGGCCAUAAGGCCUUUGUGAAUGCAUGGAGGAAAUUUGCGAUGGGGAGAAGGCAAGCUGUUAAACGUGUGAGAACUCCCCAAAGACACCUUGAAAGUCUGGAUACAGCUGUUUUGUUGAACUAUGGCCACAGCAUCAAUGAGGUUUAUUUUUAAGAGUGAAAUGGAAAGUUGGAAACACUGGGUCGAAACCUUUCCCAGGAACAGUGGUCACUUCCUGAAGACAUAGGAGGAGGAAUCAAGUUAAGUGCUUCUCUGUAAUUACUAAUCUUUCAAAGUUGCAUAGUCUUUUAACUACUGCAUAGAAAAUGGGUACACACCAAUCAGUGACUUAUGAGCAUGAAUCUCUGUCAACAGUUAUCAGAACCACCAAAACCACAUAUAAAGCCUGAUUACUGCUGUGAGCAGAAGUCCACACUUUGACUUCUGUGGGGGAUAAGUAUGUACAUCAAAGAGCAUGAUCAAACCUAAGAACUGAGAAAGACAAACAGCAAUUAAUGCUGCAUCUUUAUUACAGUGGACCCGGUAUGAUCUUGAUUUUACAUCCGAACUAGGCUUCUGCUGUACAUGCAUUACUCUUCUGGAAAAAGAAGUCAGCUCCUUCCUAUUUCUCGUCUUUCAAAGCCAGUGUUGCACAACCAAGCCUCCAGACGUUGUAAUUCACGCUGUAGAGCAUCCUACCCGCUGAAAUGAAUGGGAACUCUAAUGAAACUAAGAUGUAAGGAUGGCGACAUCUACCUUAGAGUAAAAAUGGAAAUGCCAACUAUGCUAUUAAAAAAGGCCAUAAUAUACAUGAGAGAAGAACCAUGAGUCCUACCAUUAUGGUAUCUAUUAAUCUUAAACUUUACAACAUUAAAAUAUGGGAAGUUUUUAUUUGUUUGAAACACAGACCGUCUUUUGAAAAAGAUAUGAGUAGAAAACAAACAGGUCAUAGUACACAUUCUCCUUUUCAUCUUUGUCCAGAACUCCCAUUGUUUUCUGUGCAGGAAAAACCAAUACAAUAUGGUCCAAUGUCUGUAAAUGAUAAAGCAAAAAGCAUUCCAUUAAUUUAUUUCUGAUUUAGUCUGGGUUAUAUUGUUUCAUACAUGUUUGAGACUCUUCAAGUUGCUUGGUUUAUGCAUGCAGCACAUAUAAAUAUUAACACUUGGGUAUUGCAGUAUUGCUUGAGCCUAUUGAACAAUUUUUAAAAAGUAAUUUCUAUACUGAAAAAAAUCUUCUUACAAUUAACUAUGACAAGGUGUAGAAUACAGUUCUUAUAGAAAUCUAGUUGUGUUGAUAAACAGAAAUUGCAUAAAUACUGAGACACUGAAGUUCAACAACCAACUUGUUAGAUGAAGAAAUGCCCAGUUCUACUGGAGAACACAUCAGAAAGACUUUCAAAUAGGGAGCUGUACUCUGAUUCCUGCAGCCAUUCUCAGCUUUGUCAGCAUGACGGCUAGAAUAGAGUAAAUUUAACACCAGAAGAGCUAUGGUCAGUCCACCUUCAGCCUUGCCUACCUUCAGUGAAAAGGGAACCAGAACUCCUAAAAUACAGAUGUGUGGUUUUCUGCCACCUUUGAUAUGGAGACAAAAAUUCCUGGGAGAGUGUCAGUGUGGUUAGUUACCACAGUGUGGUUAGUAACCUCUUCAACUGCUGGUACUCAGUAGAGGUGAUCUGCCUGACUGACUCCAAAAGCAAUAAUCCAUUGUUUGAACCACCUUGUCUCUCUCCUGCACGGAGUUACCUCUUCUGUGGGACACUGAUCAAAUCCAGGUGCUGCUUUCCCAUCAGCAACACAAGAGCUGUCAGCGUUGCCUGUCCAAACUGAGGUAUAGAUGUCUGGGCACACAUCAGGGUGGAGGUGGAAUUUUGUUAACAGAGAGAACUAAGAACCCAGAGAAGACAGAGCAUUUGGGAACUGAUGCCCUCUCUGGAAUAUUAAAAGACCUUCUACAUACCUCAGGGGUUAUGUCUAGAUGGAUGAGUGUGGAGAGUUGCUUGCCUGCUCUUAUACUUUGAGCUACCAGGCUGCAGGCCAGCUCUGAUAUGAAAACUGAAACCACAGCAUUGUGACACUGUGCUUGUAUUUACCAUAACUGUUCUCUCUGCAGGACUUAUCAACACAGCUCUGAGCUUUUGGUAAGUGCAGUUACCUGAUACACAGACCAGUCUGGAUAACAUCCAUCUGGCUCAGACUGUAAGCAGCUGCAUGCACCACCCUGCACGGGCACUUUUCGUGAGUUGCAGUAGUCAGCUCCCACACAGCUACUGCAGCAGUCGUACACAGAUACAGUGAGUUGCUAGUCACUGUGCAGUGGAAGCAAACUGUUCCUGUGACAACAACACUCUUAGCAUAUAAUUUCACGUUUCAUAGUAUAUAAUCCCUUUGAAUUGUUCAAGUAAAAUGUAAAAAUGACAAUAUAUUGAAACCAAAUGAAGAAAAAAUUAAAAUCAGAGCAGCUCUAAGCUGACAUAUUUAAAAUUACUUUGAAAUGAAAUUAAGCUUUUCAAUAACAAAUGGGUUUCUUGUGGCUCCAAAACAAAGAGUAAGGAAUGAAAUACAGACUUAUAUGUGCAUAAAUGAUUUAGGUGGCGAAUGGGGAGGAGAUGGUCAUAGAGAGAAAGUACAUUUGCAAGUUCCUGAAAAACCCAUGUAGGAGAGAGUUCCACAGAAAAACUGAAUACUAUGACUCAGCUUGAUCCAGAUAAGGUUUUCAUAGGGGAAUAAAAGGCAAAACCUUUGAUCUUGGUUGCUGUGAUAGAAAAUUGAGUAAUAAAUUAUGGUUCUGUUAAUGUCUUAAUCAUAGCUUAUACAUAAUUUUCUCUUGCCAACAUUCCUUUGCUUCUAGUUGUACUUUGACACAGCAUGAUUGCAUGAGUGUCUCAAGUAAACUCAAUAGCUCUUCCAGGAGGAGGCCUGACUCCUUGUAGCCCACCAAAGCUGGAUGUGUCAGAAGAAAGGGACUGGAUGAAAAGCAGCCAAGGGGACUUUCUGGCUGGGGAUUGUGUAGCUGCUUUCAUGGAAACACUAAUAAGAGAAACAUCCCCAGGGAACCAUGUGGGCAAAUGACACCAGAUGGAUCUAGGGAGUUCAGCUUCUUCCUUAAGCAACAUCUGCUGGUAUUGGAAGUAUCCAGAAAGCCACCCCACACUUAAAAAUUAAACAAAACAAAAAACAAUCUGCAACAGGAAGAACAACCCAAGUGACAUGGGAAGCUCAAGAGAAGGAAACUGAAAAAGCAUAAUUUCCUCAGAUUUUUGGACUGUUGAGAAGCCCAGCUCUUGGAAGUCCUGGGAAAACCUUCACAUGACUAUCUAUUUUGGAACCUGGAGCUGGGUUACUGUGGGAUAAUUCAUACGACCACACAGACUAAUCACAAGGGCCUUGUUAUUUAAACGUGCCGAUUACUUUUUUUUUGCAAUAGCUCCUGCUCUUCUCCACAUCCCACAAUGCAUUCCAGGGCUACUAUGUUAAUUGGAAGUAUAUUCCUGUAUGUGAAGUGGACUUUAAUUAGCACCUAAGGGGCACAUUCUGGUGUCCUGACUCAUGUGGCAUGGGGGUGUACCUCUGUUGCUCCAUCACAGCCUGUGGGACUUCUCAUGAAGAAAGGUACUUCCUGGCCCAGAUGAAGGCUGGCUUGGAAGCUCUGAGCCACCCAGAUGGGAUAAGAGACUCCACUGAAUCUCCAGCGUGGAAUGCCAUGGCCCGGGGCCCUAAAUAACAAUAGUUACACUAACACUUCUAAUUAUUUUGCUCAACUAAUAAGCAACAUGAACGGCUCCAGAUUUUAAGUCUGUGAGCAAAGUAGGAACACUGUAAAAUCUUGGAUUCCAGGCAGUCUUGUAACAAAUUAAUAACUUUGACUACUAUGUGAGUCAUCUGUAAAAUGGGCCCUGAGUUAUGAAGACACACACCAACUGUGGGGGUAUCACAGAAAAUUAAAAUUAAUGUCACAUAUUACUGUUUCAAUUACAAUAAAAGUACUGCAUCUGGAAGUGCUGAGAAAAGUGGGAGGGGCAAAAGUCCACUGAUUAGCAUAAUUACAUCCAUGCAUCUGCUUCCCAAAAGCAGGCUGUGAAUUGGUUUCAGCUCAGCGUCAGCACCUCCUGCCAGCCAUGCAGUGAGACAAUUGUGAACAGACAUCCUAGCUCCUGCUCUGUGGGAUGAAGCUGGCAGCCAGGAUGGAAAGAAACAAAAGGCACUGAUUAAAACAAAAAGCCUAGUCUACAGGUUCUUCAGUCAUGACAUAAAAAGUCUUUUUUGUUGUUGUUGUUGUCUUAAUGCUAUUAAUCGCCUUUCAAAGCCCUUGCAAAAUGCACUUCCCUGAUGAUAAUAAAACAUUCCCUCCAAAAUCAGUUCUCUGGCUCCUUCCUUGUUCUAAACCCACGUGCACUCAAAAUCCUCACCUGCAGGACCAUAGGUGCAGAUGUCACUAAAUACAGCUUCUUUGAUGGUUACUACAGAACGAUGCGUGUUACUGUCCUUUUCAUGGACAUCCUAUGACAAUCCAGCAGGAGGAACCAGGGCCAACUUAUAAAUCACCUGAGCAGUGUCUCAAUUGUGCUAUCUCUGUGAGGCAUCUCUUGCCCCGUGACAGCUGGGGAUUAAAAUGUCAGCAAGUACUUCAUGAAAAUUGUUAUCUAUUAAUUGUUUCGUAACUCUGUAGAAUAUUUAUGAAACUAUGCUGUAAAGAGUUAUACAGACUUGAGAAUUAUUAUCUUAAUUGUGCUUUGACUGGAAUUACAAUGCACUGAGGUUACUAAUCUCUUCUCAAUGAGCUAAAUGGUAGUAAAAUAUUUUAAAUCCUUUAAAGUGAGGAGAGAGAUGAAGUUAUUUAAACACAAAGUCCUGCCUAAAAGUACUCUAAGCAAUAUAUCCAGUACUCUAAGCAUUAUAUCCAUCACAAAUAUAGUAAGAAAAUAUAUGAAAACUAAGAGAUGAAAAAUAGGUUUUAAUUGUUUAACGUAUUUCUUUUCUUGUUUUAUCAAAAUGUUGUGCCGGAUUUUAUUAACACCAAAUCUAUUUUAUAUUGUUAGAAUACAAGAAAAUGUUUUAAAAUAUAGCAUUAUAGGUUUAAUGUCUCCUGUUGAAUCCAAUGUAACUCAUACAAUGUGAAAAGACUGUUUAUCUGCCAAUGAAGAGAAAGCUAAUCCUUAAAUAUUCUACAUUUUGAAAAUUACACAGUUGGUAUUUUUUUAAAAUGAAGUAACUGUCCAGUGUGCAUCCCUCUGAGUAAAGAACUGUCAUCUAUGAUAUAUUUCUUUUGGCCAAAUAACGCUUAGAAUGAAUGAAGGUAGUAAUUCACUUAUUGUUCAAAACAUGGGUCUCAAUAUAAACACAGUGACUGGGUAUAAAUGUUGCUUUCAGGAUCGAUAAUUUAUUAAUCAGUGAUUUUUGUUGGGCUGAUGCUGCAUUUAUGAAAUGGAGAUGAAUAUUUUUUGACGCCUUCUAACGGCAAGCCUUGCAAUCUCAGUUUAAGAUUUAGGAGGCAGCUUUGAGACCUUUCCUUUUGGCACA
Long non-coding RNA from Pipra filicauda (Wire-tailed manakin), 6056 nucleotides. RefSeq lists it as uncharacterized. The transcript has 5 exons. The record is from RefSeq and is a predicted model, not a curated record. NCBI's taxonomy places the organism in Eukaryota, Metazoa, Chordata, Aves, Passeriformes, Pipridae.